This 307-nucleotide ribosomal RNA is filed under the name uncultured eukaryote. RNAcentral's name for it is "partial 18S ribosomal RNA". It matches the Rfam family "Eukaryotic small subunit ribosomal RNA", at positions 1470 to 1796 of the family's 1831-position model. The record is from RNAcentral.
CCCUUAGACGUUCUGGGCCACACGCGCGCUACACUGACGAAGGCAACGAGCUUUCCUUUACCGAAAGGUACGGGUAAUCUUUUGAAACUUCGUCGUGCUGGGGAUAGAUCCUUGCAAUUUUUGAUCUUAAACGAGGAAUGCCUAGUAAGCGCAAGUCAUCAACUUGCGUUGAUUACGUCCCUGCCCUUUGUACACACCGCCCGUCGCUACUACCGAUUGAAUGGUUUAGUGAGGCCUUCGGAUCCGCGACUCGUUUGUGGAGAAGUUGGACAAACUCAGUCAUUUAGAGGAAGUAAAAGUCGUAACA